Xyrichtys novacula (pearly razorfish) is the source of this 4385-nucleotide non-coding RNA. The record is from the annotation of a GenBank genome assembly. Lineage: Eukaryota; Metazoa; Chordata; Actinopteri; Labriformes; Labridae.
GGUUAUGGUUAGGGUUAGGGUUGGAGCUAGGGUUAGGGUUAGGGUUAGGGUUGGAGUUAGGGUUAGUGUUGGAGCUAGGGUUAGGGUUGGGCUUGGAGCUAGGAUUUUUCUGAGUGCACUGAACCAACUCCCGAGUCUCUAGGACGUUCCUAAAAAAAAUUUGAUUUUUUCCCAUAGGAAUGCAUGGGUUAGGGUUAGGGUUAGGGUUGGAGCUAGGGUUAGGGUUAGGGUUAGGGUUGGAGUUAGGGUUAGUGUUGGAGCUAGGGUUAGGGUUGGGCUUGGAGCUAGGAUUUUUCUGAGUGCACUGAACCAACUCCCGAGUCUCUAGGACAUUCCUAAAAAAAUUUGAUUUUUUCCCAUAGGAAUGCAUGGGUUAGGGUUAGGGUUAGGGUUGGAGCUAGGGUUAGGGUUAGGGUUAGGGUUGGAGUUAGGGUUAGUGUUGGAGCUAGGGUUAGGGUUGGGCUUGGAGCUAGGAUUUUUCUGAGUGCACUGAACCAACUCCCGAGUCUCUAGGACAUUCCUAAAAAAAUUUGAUUUUUUCCCAUAGGAAUGCAUGGGUUAGGGUUAUGGUUAGGGUUAGGGUUGGAGCUAGGGUUAGGGUUAGGGUUAGGGUUGGAGUUAGGGUUAGUGUUGGAGCUAGGGUUAGGGUUGGGCUUGGAGCUAGGACUUUUCUGAGUGCAAUGAACCAACUCCCGAGUCUCUAGGACGUUCCUAAAAAAAUUUGAUUUUUUCCCAUAGGAAUGCAUGGGUUAGGGUUAGGGUUAGGGUUGGAGCUAGGGUUAGGGUUAGGGUUAGGGUUGGAGUUAGGGUUAGUGUUGGAGCUAGGGUUAGGGUUGGGCUUGGAGCUAGGAUUUUUCUGAGUGCACUGAACCAACUCCCGAGUCUCUAGGACGUUCCUAAAAAAAUUUGAUUUUUUCCCAUAGGAAUGCAUGGGUUAGGGUUAGGGUUAGGGUUGGAGCUAGGGUUAGGGUUAGGGUUAGGGUUGGAGUUAGGGUUAGUGUUGGAGCUAGGGUUAGGGUUGGGCUUGGAGCUAGGAUUUUUCUGAGUGCACUGAACCAACUCCCGAGUCUCUAGGACAUUCCUAAAAAAAUUUGAUUUUUUCCCAUAGGAAUGCAUGGGUUAGGGUUAGGGUUAGGGUUGGAGCUAGGGUUAGGGUUAGGGUUAGGGUUGGAGUUAGGGUUAGUGUUGGAGCUAGGGUUAGGGUUGGGCUUGGAGCUAGGAUUUUUCUGAGUGCACUGAACCAACUCCCGAGUCUCUAGGACAUUCCUAAAAAAAUUUGAUUUUUUCCCAUAGGAAUGCAUGGGUUAGGGUUAUGGUUAGGGUUAGGGUUGGAGCUAGGGUUAGGGUUAGGGUUAGGGUUGGAGUUAGGGUUAGUGUUGGAGCUAGGGUUAGGGUUGGGCUUGGAGCUAGGAUUUUUCUGAGUGCAAUGAACCAACUCCCGAGUCUCUAGGACGUUCCUAAAAAAAUUUGAUUUUUUUCCCAUAGGAAUGCAUGGGUUAGGGUUAGGGUUAGGGUUGGAGCUAGGGUUAGGGUUAGGGUUAGGGUUGGAGUUAGGGUUAGUGUUGGAGCUAGGGUUAGGGUUGGGCUUGGAGCUAGGAUUUUUCUGAGUGCACUGAACCAACUCCCGAGUCUCUAGGACAUUCCUAAAAAAAUUUGAUUUUUUCCCAUAGGAAUGCAUGGGUUAGGGUUAGGGUUAGGGUUGGAGCUAGGGUUAGGGUUAGGGUUAGGGUUGGAGUUAGGGUUAGUGUUGGAGCUAGGGUUAGGGUUGGGCUUGGAGCUAGGAUUUUUCUGAGUGCACUGAACCAACUCCCGAGUCUCUAGGACAUUCCUAAAAAAAUUUGAUUUUUUUCCCAUAGGAAUGCAUGGGUUAGGGUUAGGGUUAGGGUUAGGGUUGGAGCUAGGGUUAGGGUUAGGGUUGGAGUUAGGGUUAGUGUUGGAGCUAGGGUUAGGGUUGGGCUUGGAGCUAGGAUUUUUCUGAGUGCAAUGAACCAACUCCCGAGUCUCUAGGACGUUCCUAAAAAAAUUUGAUUUUUUCCCAUAGGAAUGCAUGGGUUAGGGUUAGGGUUAGGGUUGGAGCUAGGGUUAGGGUUAGGGUUAGGGUUGGAGUUAGGGUUAGUGUUGGAGCUAGGGUUAGGGUUGGGCUUGGAGCUAGGAUUUUUCUGAGUGCACUGAACCAACUCCCGAGUCUCUAGGACGUUCCUAAAAAAAUUUGAUUUUUUCCCAUAGGAAUGCAUGGGUUAGGGUUAGGGUUAGGGUUGGAGCUAGGGUUAGGGUUAGGGUUAGGGUUGGAGUUAGGGUUAGUGUUGGAGCUAGGGUUAGGGUUGGGCUUGGAGCUAGGAUUUUUCUGAGUGCACUGAACCAACUCCCGAGUCUCUAGGACAUUCCUAAAAAAAUUUGAUUUUUUUCCCAUAGGAAUGCAUGGGUUAGGGUUAGGGUUAGGGUUGGAGCUAGGGUUAGGGUUAGGGUUAGGGUUGGAGUUAGGGUUAGUGUUGGAGCUAGGGUUAGGGUUGGGCUUGGAGCUAGGAUUUUUCUGAGUGCACUGAACCAACUCCCGAGUCUCUAGGACAUUCCUAAAAAAAUUUGAUUUUUUCCCAUAGGAAUGCAUGGGUUAGGGUUAUGGUUAGGGUUAGGGUUGGAGCUAGGGUUAGGGUUAGGGUUAGGGUUGGAGUUAGGGUUAGUGUUGGAGCUAGGGUUAGGGUUGGGCUUGGAGCUAGGACUUUUCUGAGUGCAAUGAACCAACUCCCGAGUCUCUAGGACGUUCCUAAAAAAAUUUGAUUUUUUUCCCAUAGGAAUGCAUGGGUUAGGGUUAGGGUUAGGGUUGGAGCUAGGGUUAGGGUUAGGGUUAGGGUUGGAGUUAGGGUUAGUGUUGGAGCUAGGGUUAGGGUUGGGCUUGGAGCUAGGAUUUUUCUGAGUGCAAUGAACCAACUCCCGAGUCUCUAGGACGUUCCUAAAAAAAUUUGAUUUUUUCCCAUAGGAAUGCAUGGGUUAGGGUUAUGGUUAGGGUUGGAGCUAGGGUUAGGGUUAGGGUUAGGGUUGGAGUUAGGGUUAGUGUUGGAGCUAGGGUUAGGGUUGGGCUUGGAGCUAGGAUUUUUCUGAGUGCAAUGAACCAACUCCCGAGUCUCUAGGACGUUCCUAAAAAAAUUUGAUUUUUUCCCAUAGGAAUGCAUGGGUUAGGGUUAGGGUUAGGGUUGGAGCUAGGGUUAGGGUUAGGGUUAGGGUUGGAGUUAGGGUUAGUGUUGGAGCUAGGGUUAGGGUUGGGCUUGGAGCUAGGAUUUUUCUGAGUGCACUGAACCAACUCCCGAGUCUCUAGGACAUUCCUAAAAAAAUUUGAUUUUUUUCCCAUAGGAAUGCAUGGGUUAGGGUUAUGGUUAGGGUUAGGGUUGGAGCUAGGGUUAGGGUUAGGGUUAGGGUUAGGGUUAGGGUUGGAGUUAGGGUUAGUGUUGGAGCUAGGGUUAGGGUUGGGCUUGGAGCUAGGAUUUUUCUGAGUGCACUGAACCAACUCCCGAGUCUCUAGGACAUUCCUAAAAAAAUUUGAUUUUUUUCCCAUAGGAAUGCAUGGGUUAGGGUUAUGGUUAGGGUUAGGGUUGGAGCUAGGUUUAGGGUUAGGGUUAGGGUUGGAGUUAGGGUUAGUGUUGGAGCUAGGGUUAGGGUUGGGCUUGGAGCUAGGAUUUUUCUGAGUGCAAUGAACCAACUCCCGAGUCUCUAGGACGUUCCUAAAAAAAUUUGAUUUUUUUCCCAUAGGAAUGCAUGGGUUAGGGUUAGGGUUAGGGUUGGAGCUAGGGUUAGGGUUAGGGUUAGGGUUGGAGUUAGGGUUAGUGUUGGAGCUAGGGUUAGGGUUGGGCUUGGAGCUAGGAUUUUUCUGAGUGCACUGAACCAACUCCCGAGUCUCUAGGACAUUCCUAAAAAAAUUUGAUUUUUUCCCAUAGGAAUGCAUGGGUUAGGGUUAGGGUUAGGGUUGGAGCUAGGGUUAGGGUUAGGGUUAGGGUUGGAGUUAGGGUUAGUGUUGGAGCUAGGGUUAGGGUUGGGCUUGGAGCUAGGAUUUUUCUGAGUGCACUGAACCAACUCCCGAGUCUCUAGGACAUUCCUAAAAAAAUUUGAUUUUUUUCCCAUAGGAAUGCAUGGGUUAGGGUUAGGGUUAGGGUUGGGGUAGGGUUAGGGUUAGGGUUAGGGUUGGAGUUAGGGUUAGUGUUGGAGCUAGGGUUAGGGUUGGGCUUGGAGCUAGGAUUUUUCUGAGUGCAAUGAACCAACUCCCGAGUCUCUUGGACGUUCCUAAAAAAAUUUGAUUUUUUCCCAUAGGAAUGCAUGGGUUAGGGUUAGGGUUAGGGUUGGAGCUAGGGUUAGGGUUAGGGUUAGGGUUGGAGUUAGGGUUAGUGUUGGAGCUAGGG